Molecule: small RNA, 506 nt
Rfam family: 5' ureB small RNA
CUCUUGGUAGAGCUGUGGGCAUAUGAAGUGGACGUGGACGUCGAGGGCGCCGGCGGUGAGGAUCAAGCCCUCACCGGCUAUGGCCUCGGUCGUCGCACCCACCCACAUGGAACCGUCCACACCCUGCACAGACACACACACACACACACACACGCACACACACACACAGACAGAUAUAUUACGGACCCUGCACUGCAUCCAUCCACCAGAUGUCUGUCUGUCCGUCGUGAGCGUGUGGCUCGGCUCGCCUGCAUGACGUCGGGAUUGCCGGCCUUCCCAAUGCCAACGAUCAUGCCGCCCUUGAGACCAACGUCAGCCUGCACACAUAACAUACACAUACACAACAGACACGAUGGAGGCAUCAAUCACUGCGUGCACCGCUGGCGGCCAGCAUAGCAUACCUUGACGAUACCGAGUUUGGCGUCGAUAAUGAGUGCGUUGGUGAUGACGCAGUCGAGGGCCUUGGCGGGUGAGCAGUUGGCCAUCUGACCCAUACCCUCACGGAG